GUACUUGACAGAUUAUUUUAGAGCUGGUCGUCUUUCAUAUGGAGCCAUUGAAGAGCACGUCUGCAGAACGAAGACUUGUCUUUGAUCUUUCUCGAGUUGAAAUCCGCCUAGCCAAAGGUGGUACUGAGAUGGUGAAAGGUGAGCCUCCUACUAGAAAGUUCGACAAGCUUUUUGACUCUAACUAAAGAACCAAUCCAACACACACCGAUAUCCCAAACUAAGGAGCGAUCGAGGGAGAGAAAGAAAGAAAAUGCACACACUCCUUAUUCGCCCUUCACUAAACUCGACCACCAAAUCGUCUAAAUGGAAUGCAUUUAUUAGGAAAGUGUGUUCAGUCAAAAAAAGAGCUCAGCAAAGUCCCCAUGCUAUAUGCGGCGACAAUGCAAUCUAAACCUACUUAUCAUCUUAAGCCACGUCGAGAGAAGAAACCUAAAGCAGAACAAAAUGAUUGAGAGGCUUACGUAGACCUUUGCAUAACUCGAUGCAUAUCAUGAAUAGAUUUAUGUUAACAAAAAUUGUUUAGAUUUCAUCAUUCCAUCUUUGUCCUUUACUUUGGAGAAUGCAAAAGAAAAACUACAAAAAAAUAACUUCACUUUCACCUUUUCAAUCUCCCCAGACAAUACUUGAAGAACUAGGCACAUGAUAUGCUAAUAGAUCUCUCUUAUUUUUUGUAAGUUGUCCAUAAAUAUUCCAGUAGGUCUUGCCAUAUGCAUUUUUGAGAAACUAGAUGAACCUAAAAUUCCCACCACAUCAUGCAUUUUGUAGCAUUACCCAUCAGCUUGCUUUUGUAGUGUUAGAGUUACUAUUCUAUAUGCUUAUAGAGCCACACUGUUUCUUUAGCAACAAAUCUCUAUGGACGAAUAGUUUAUUACAUAAUUAUUUCUCCUUUCAAAAACCUUCUAUUGCAUAAGAUAAAACACACUUUUUCUUAAUCUUAACGACUCCAUAUUCGUUACAUAAUUUACAGUCUUCCACCACAUUAACCAGUUAUUUUUUAUUGGAUAUUCUGCUAACUAAAUUUAAUUGUUGUUCUUGUAGAUUUUCCCAAAGCCAGCAUUAAUUUGACUAUAUGUUAGCCGAAACUUUUACAAAGUUAAAAAAAACGACAGCUCUUUACAUCUGUCGUUAUACAUAUUCGGUUCAAGUUCACUUAUUUUUCAAAAACAGCAAGACAUAUAAAAUUAGCAAUAUCACUUCUUGUUAUACUUAAUCACAAAUUCAAACUUUCUACCUUACUACAACUUUAAAUCGUACGAGUGACACUUUAAUUGCGUUUACAAAAAGUAAAAUAGAUAACCAGCUCUUAUUCUUGUAUUUUCAAUUCAUACAACUGUUGUCUUACAAGAUUUUUACCGGUAUAAUUACACUUGCAACAAUAACUUGCUGGACUUUUUUGUUUCUUUUUCUACAGAAAAGCAGUACAAGUAAAUAUUGCGUACAAACUGUGAACAUAUGAUAAACAUUGCAUAAAAAGGUACUUGUACUUAAAGCCGUCACAUACAUUUGAAGAUAAUAUUGCUUACUAAUACAUUAUUCAGAGAUCAAUUCAUCC
RNAcentral lists this long non-coding RNA (1552 nucleotides) under Olea europaea (common olive). Its description in RNAcentral is "long non-coding RNA (OEUR_LNC010856)". The record is from RNAcentral. Lineage: Eukaryota; Viridiplantae; Streptophyta; Magnoliopsida; Lamiales; Oleaceae.